AUUGAACGCUGGCGGCAUGCUUUACACAUGCAAGUCGAACGGCAGCACGGGUGCUUGCACCUGGUGGCGAGUGGCGGACGGGUGAGUAAUGCAUCGGAACGUGUCCUAAAAGUGGGGGAUAACGCAUCGAAAGAUGUGCUAAUACCGCAUAUUCUCUGAGGAGGAAAGUAGGGGAUCGAAAGACCUUAUGCUUUUGGAGCGGCCGAUGUCUGAUUAGCUAGUUGGUAGGGUAAUGGCUUACCAAGGCGACGAUCAGUAGUUGGUCUGAGAGGACGACCAGCCACACUGGGACUGAGACACGGCCCAGACUCCUACGGGAGGCAGCAGUGGGGAAUUUUGGACAAUGGGCGCAAGCCUGAUCCAGCAAUGCCGCGUGAGUGAAGAAGGCCUGG
Molecule: ribosomal RNA, 392 nt
Filed under: uncultured bacterium
Lineage: Bacteria
Description: bacterial SSU rRNA
Rfam family: Bacterial small subunit ribosomal RNA
Source: RNAcentral